UGCAGUCGAGCGCCCCUUCGGGGUGAGCGGCGGACGGGUUAGUAACGCGUGGGAAUAUACCCGACACUAAGGAAUAGCCUCUGGAAACGGAGAGUAAUAUCUUAUACGCCCUUCGGGGGAAAGAUUUAUCGGUGACGGAUUAGCCCGCGUUAGAUUAGAUAGUUGGUGGGGUAAUGGCCUACCAAGUCUACGAUCUAUAGCUGGUUUUAGAGGAUGAUCAGCAACACUGGGACUGAGACACGGCCCAGACUCCUACGGGAGGCAGCAGUGGGGAAUCUUGGACAAUGGGCGCAAGCCUGAUCCAGCCAUGCCGCGUGAGUGAUGAAGGCCUUAGGGUCGUAAAGCUCUUUCGCCAGAGAUGAUAAUGACAGUAUCUGGUAAAGAAACCCCGGCUAACUCCGUGCCAGCAGCCGCGGUAAUACGGAGGGGGUUAGCGUUGUUCGGAAUUACUGGGCGUAAAGCGCGCGUAGGCGGAUUAGUAAGUUAGAGGUGAAAUCCCGGGGCUCAACCCCGGAACUGCCUUUAAUACUGCUAGUCUUGAGUUCGAGAGAGGUGAGUAGAAUUCCGAGUGUAGAGGUGAAAUUCGUAGAUUUUCGGAGGGACACCAGUGGCGAAGGCGGCUCACUGGCUCGAUACUGACNCUGAGGUGCGAAAGUGUGGGGAGCAAAC
Molecule: ribosomal RNA, 669 nt
Filed under: uncultured bacterium
Lineage: Bacteria
Description: bacterial SSU rRNA
Rfam family: Bacterial small subunit ribosomal RNA
Source: RNAcentral